CAUGUAGGCGGCUUAAUAAGUCGAGCGUGAAAAUGCGGGGCUCAACCCCGUAUGGCGCUGGAAACUGUUAGGCUUGAGUGCAGGAGAGGAAAGUGGAAUUCCUAGUGUAGCGGUGAAAUGCGUAGAUAUUAGGAGGAACACCAGUAGCGAAGGCGGCUUUCUGGACUGUAACUGACACUGAGGCACGAAAGCGUGGGAGCAAACA
This 205-nucleotide ribosomal RNA is filed under the name uncultured bacterium. RNAcentral describes it as "partial 16S ribosomal RNA". It matches the Rfam family "Bacterial small subunit ribosomal RNA", at positions 568 to 774 of the family's 1533-position model. The record is from RNAcentral.